CAAUAGCGUAUAUUAAAGUCGUUGCAGUUAAAAAGCUCGUAGUUGGAUUUCGGGGUGGCCUGGCUGGUCCGCCGCAAGGUGAGUACUGGUCAGCCGCCCUUCCUCUCGAAAGCCCCGACUGCUCUUUACUGCAGUGGUCGGGUAGUUCGGGACGUUUACUUUGAAAAAAUUAGAGUGUUCAAGGCAGGCUAUCGCCUGAAUACAUUAGCAUGGAAUAAUGGAAGAGGACCUCGGUCCUAUUUUGUUGGUUUCUAGGGCCGAAGUAAUGAUUAAGAGGGACAGUUGGGGGCAUUCGUAUUUAAUUGUCAGAGGUGAAAUUCUUGGAUUUAUGAAAGACGAACUAGUGCGAAAGCAUUUGCCAAGGAUGUUUUCAUUAA
Molecule: ribosomal RNA, 377 nt
Filed under: uncultured eukaryote
Lineage: Eukaryota
Description: partial 18S ribosomal RNA
Rfam family: Eukaryotic small subunit ribosomal RNA
Source: RNAcentral